Molecule: ribosomal RNA, 292 nt
Filed under: uncultured eukaryote
Lineage: Eukaryota
Description: partial 18S ribosomal RNA
Rfam family: Eukaryotic small subunit ribosomal RNA
Source: RNAcentral
GGUUGAUCCUGCCAGUAGUCAUAUGCUUGUCCCAAAGAUUAAGCCAUGCAUGUCUAAGUAUAAACAAGUCUAUACAGUGAAACUGCGAAUGGCUCAUUAUAUCAGUUAUAAUUUACUUGAUAGUCUCUUUACUACAUGGAUAACCGUGGUAAUUCUAGAGCUAAUACAUGCGCAAAGCCUGUCGAGGGCUGUAUUUAUUAGAUAAAAAACCAAUGCUCUGUCUUUUGGGCAGAGCUCCCUUGGUGAUUCAUAAUAACUUUUCCGAUCGCAUAGCCUUGUGCUGGCGACGUUU